Molecule: unclassified non-coding RNA, 234 nt
Filed under: Hevea brasiliensis (rubber tree)
Lineage: Eukaryota; Viridiplantae; Streptophyta; Magnoliopsida; Malpighiales; Euphorbiaceae
Source: RNAcentral
GUUAUUGUUCAUCUAUGAUCUUUUCACUUGAAAUUAAUGGUUACCUUACCUCACAGGUACUGGCUUCCAGCCAGAUUUUUGAACCUCCAUCAAAUCCUUGGGAUACCAAAAUUGUAAUCAGAUUGAAAUUAUUUAAUUCCUGUGCUCUCUCCACUUGUAAUCAAAAUCUUCUGCUCAGAGUUUCUGUUGAUGCUCUGGAUAGGGAGGGUCUGAAUUUAUGAUCAGGCCUGUUAG